CCGGGUUUUCUAAUAUGAGACAGAGGAAGCAGUGAAUGCCACUAUUCUCCAGGAGAAUUUGGUUUGCCAACAGAAUCAGGUCAUUGGUGCCAGUGCCUGAAGAGUGUCUGACACCUCUACUGUAGGUAGAUGUAGACAGCUGAGACCCGAGCAGGAAGAAGGUACUAUAGCAGCCGUCAGAGCUAUACUGUAUCUUCAAGAACACUCAGGAAUGGAAAUCUAAAAGUGUCAGUUCGCUACAAAUUUCCAUGGUGUUAAUAUAAAAUUGGUGCCAAAACCUCCAAGACCAAAUCCCUGGCUCAACACUUGUGGCACACAGUUGACUGUGCUCAUCUGACUUUUGGAAGAUGUUUUUCUGGAAGAAAUCGAAGACAGGAAAGAAAUGGUGUAAGCAUCUCAGUUAUAGCCAUAGUCAACACAUACCGUGUGAAGAUGGAUCUAAAUAAGCCUUUGUCUAAAGGUGGACUAAAGCGGACCAGGUUUGAGUCCUGGAACAUGGUAAGAUAGAAUUUUCCAAAAUCUUUCCCAGAUAAGGAGAUUUAAGGUGGGGAACUUUUCCAGAUGCUGUGUCAGGGAUCUGUCAUUCUCAUGCAGACUGGCUUCAAAUAGAGACGGACCCACCAGGCGGAAAUGCUGAACUAUGUGAUCACCCAUCAAUCCCCAAGACCACAGAAGAGGAGAGCAGGGAAGAGUCCAUCCUGGCCUUUAUGAGGAUUGUAGGGACCAUCCUCAACUUAAUUGUCAUUAUUUUUAUCUACAUCUAUACUUCUAUCUGACACAAGACUGUUGAUAUCUGAAACUUAUAAUAUUAUGUGGAGGAAAUAUGAUAGACCUUAGUCUGGUUUGGUACCAUAUUUCAUUUUUAGACAGAAAUGAAAACAAGGCUGUGUGGGAUACAAAUACAGUGUAUUUAAUGGAUUGUGCUGUUGUUUAACCACAUACUGAUUGUUCAGUUGAUGAAAUGUCUUUCUGAAGAAGAAGAAGAAGAAAAAAAAUGAAACAUUUGGUGGACAAAAACUGAAAAAAAAAAAAAAGAAAUAUUGGGAGUUGGUGAAAUAGGACCUUAGUGUUAAAUUUAAUAUGA
Molecule: long non-coding RNA, 1084 nt
Organism: Cyprinus carpio (common carp)
Lineage: Eukaryota; Metazoa; Chordata; Actinopteri; Cypriniformes; Cyprinidae
Source: RefSeq, a predicted model, not a curated record